UACGUAGGGUGCAAGCGUUAAUCGGAAUUACUGGGCGUAAAGCGUGCGCAGGCGGUUUUGUAAGUCUGUCGUGAAAUCCCCGGGCUCAACCUGGGAAUUGCGAUGGAGACUGCAAGGCUAGAAUCUGGCAGAGGGGGGUAGAAUUCCACGUGUAGCAGUGAAAUGCGUAGAGAUGUGGAGGAACACCGAUGGCGAAGGCAGCCCCCUGGGUCAAGAUUGACGCUCAUGCACGAAAGCGUGGGGAUCAAACAGG
RNAcentral lists this ribosomal RNA (253 nucleotides) under uncultured bacterium. RNAcentral's name for it is "partial 16S ribosomal RNA". It matches the Rfam family "Bacterial small subunit ribosomal RNA", at positions 524 to 776 of the family's 1533-position model. The record is from RNAcentral.